GAUCGCAAUUAGCGGGCCGUCGACGGAAAGUGUUCGAUUGGAUUUAUGAAGAAUUCGACUUAUUAUUUUCGGACACUUGCGCAUGCUAGGCAUACUUUAAAUAGGUGUAUCAGAAAUGGAAUUUUAAAAAUACAUUUCGUACAGCGGCACAGAUUGUGAAAGGCGUUCGUUCGCCUCCGUUGACAGAGAUACAGAUGCGAAUGCAGCAAAGAUACAGAUACGGCGUAUAGCUGUGAGAGAGACGGCGAGUCAGUGGGGGACGGGUAUGAGCACAGGUUUGUACGCGUACGGAACGGUCCAACGGAUACGUUGUGGCCUGGCAGGCACGCGACUUCCAACUGCACCACUGCGUCUGGGGCCAACCACUUGGCCGCCUGCCCCACGGCGGUGCGAGAACUCAGCCAACACACACACACACACUCGCACAAACACACAAACAAACGCAGUGGAGGUGGGCGGGGCCAGCGUUGCAUACGGCCUGCCAAUUCAGUGAUGGAAUGUGCGUGCGGCUUCUAGUCGAAAUUUACAUCCAACGAUUCGUUGAACGAACAGCAAAUUGAGACCGCAUAAAAAGGAAG
Drosophila navojoa is the source of this 578-nucleotide long non-coding RNA. NCBI's taxonomy places the organism in Eukaryota, Metazoa, Arthropoda, Insecta, Diptera, Drosophilidae. The record is from RefSeq and is a predicted model, not a curated record.